This 492-nucleotide ribosomal RNA is filed under the name uncultured bacterium. RNAcentral describes it as "partial 16S ribosomal RNA". It matches the Rfam family "Bacterial small subunit ribosomal RNA", at positions 29 to 507 of the family's 1533-position model. The record is from RNAcentral.
AGUGAACGCUGGCGGUAGGCCUAACACAUGCAAGUCGAACGGCAGCACAGUAAGAGCUUGCUCUUACGGGUGGCGAGUGGCGGACGGGUGAGGAAUACAUCGGAAUCUACUUUUUCGUGGGGGAUAACGUAGGGAAACUUACGCUAAUACCGCAUACGACCUACGGGUGAAAGCAGGGGAUCUUCGGACCUUGCGCGAUUGAAUGAGCCGAUGUCGGAUUAGCUAGUUGGCGGGGUAAAGGCCCACCAAGGCGACGAUCCGUAGCUGGUCUGAGAGGCUGGUCAGCCACAUUGGAACUGAGACACGGUCCAGGCUCCUACGGGAGGCAGCAGUGGGGAAUAUUGGACAAUGGGCGCAAGCCUGAUACAGCCAUACCGCGUGGGUGAAGAAGGCCUUCGGGUUGUAAAGCCCUUUUGUUGGGAAAGAAAAGCAGCAGGUUAAUACCCCGCUGUUCUGACGGUACCCAAAGAAUAAGCACCGGCUAACUUCGUG